GACAUGACUGGACAACUAACACACACUAAGGCACUUGAGGACAGUGGUGCCUCUUUUUCAGUCAUAAGUGGACCCUUAUGUCUGCAAGACCUCAGAAUAGUAGCCUCUUCCCAACUUACAAUUUGAUUUAAUAUGAAGGUAAUCAUGGUAAGGGCCCAUGAUUAUAAAUAUGAGCAUCUCCACACAAAGGAUGUGUGAAUACAAAUGUCUCCACACAGUUUAUCAAUUUCUACUGCACUUUCUCUUAUCUCUUUCUCAACUUCUUCAAAUCAAACUUUCUCUCUAGAAUAUCUUUACUUUUCUUUAUGAUUUUUUUCCUCCUUUAAGACCCUUUUCUGGAAGCCUUCCAGUCUACUCAAACACUCAUUCCCCAUUAACAAAAAUCUCUUUCUCUGAGAAAUUGUCUUUAAUGAAAUCAGAUUAUUGCAUCCUCCUUUCCUUUUGAUGCUUCAUUUACCUUUUAGUCAUUCAUUGGUUUAUAUUUAAAGCACAGAUUUAUGCUACUGUUAAUAUCAAGGGUUAUAUAUUUUUUCUGCUCUUUAUACACAAUUACAACAUACUCAAAAACUUUUUCAUAACCUGGUUGAUUAUAGCUCACUUAGAUUCCCCUUCAGUAUUAUUCUUUGAAACUUAAAGCUAAAUAUUUAUUUUUAAAGAAAUUUCUGCUCAACUUGUAAACAACUGUGUCCUAAAUAUCUAUUUUCUUGUUCAUAAAACCUACUGAAUCCCACUGGGUGGGCCAUAAGGGGCAUGCACUGAAUGUUUUCCAACAUAUCUAGAGUCAGAUACUAAUCCAUUGAUUCCACAAAUCCAUAUUGACUUCCAAGUCUGUGAAGACCCUGUUCUGGGGCCUGUUGUUAUGAAAGAUUCAAUCCUGCAGAAAGACGAGAUCUGGCUUAAAAACACUUGGGAUAAAUUUUUACCAAAUGAUGUAUAAGCUUUUUCACCAAAACCUUCACCUCUUCAUGCAGUAUUUAUAUGCACAAAGACCAGGAGUGUAAUACUCCAUUUUCCUUUCUUUUCUUAAAUGCACUGAAAGUAAAUUAAAGUGUACAGGAAUAAUGAUAAAAUCAAAGGAAAAACCACAUAAAGUUUCAUUUUAAAAGCGUGGGGUGUCCCUCUGUUCCAUUCCACCAACCCGCUUGCCUUGCAAACCAACAUAGCCUGGUUGUCCUUAAAUAUAAAUACUUACAUCCCUGAGGAACAGGAGGAAGCAGAGAGGCAGCAGAAGGGGAAGUAUGCUAAGAAAGGCAUUGAUACCCUAAGGGACAAUUUUUAUCUCAAGAGAACUGACCUUUUAGAGAAAGCAAAUUGAAUUAUCUUUCUCAUCCUUUAUUUUUGCUGUGACAUCAUUAAAAUGCAUGUUACAUAACAACAGUCAUUGUUUUGUAUUCUUAACCUUAAACUAAAAUUAAUCAGUUGUCACAAGGACUUAAUACAUGUGUUAAUGGUUCCUAGCCAAAAAUUCUGUAUUGUUACAAGAAAAGCAGUUUUAUAUAUACACCCUUGAGAAAAACAACAGAGGAGAAUUAAGUGGUGGACACUGAAUAUUCUUUUCUCUUGUUCAUAAAAUAGCAGUCUCUUCAUUCUCUUCUCUGUCUGUUGAACUAGCACUUCUGAUUUGAUGUUUGACAUGAUAUUUAUUGUCUCAAAGGGAGGAAACACUCUUUUGACUAAGUCUAAUUAAUAUAAAUUAGAUCCUACAAAGUUUAAUAAAUACAUGAAUUUAGAUAGUAAGCACUUAUUAAGCUCUGAUUUGGAACCCAGAUCCUUACCAUGGAUUUUUUAUUCAAUACAUAUUCAUUGAGAACUUGAAGAACUGGUGAAAAAUGUUUUAUGAAUAGCUCAAAAGUUGUCUUUACAAAGCUCAUAGCCUUGUCAGGCAAAAGAUAAGUAAAUGUAACAGACAACACUGUGUUUCAAGUGCUCUAUAAAGGAUAAACAUAUUCUCAAAAAAGAGGCUUAGGAGACAAAGAGAGGGCUUCUUAAAGGGGUCAUCAAAACUGAAUGUUGCAUAGAUUUGAGGAAAAAAAAUUAAAGAGGAGCAAGAUCAAAGGAAAAAACAAAAACAUAAUUAGCUCAUCCUUUUAGCACUCUACAUGAAAGAUAAGGCAAUGUGGUCUGUAUGAAGAUAGUGAUAUUGAGGAUAAUAAGGCGUUGCAUUCAACCCAUGUUAAGGAGGGAAAAGAGUCAAAGUGAUCCAUUGGAUGAUCAGAUGCAGAAGACAUUCAGGUGCAAGAAAGGCAUAGCCUCCACCUUCCAGGACUUAAUAUUCUAUUUGAGGAAAUAUAAGUUGAAAAUGUAAACCUUGAUAUUUUAAAGCAAUUGAAUGUUGAGGAAGUAGCUGAACUUUGUGAUUAGCAAAUAUUCUGCAAUGUUAUUUAUUAACCAUAUGGUUGGCAAUAGUGACUUUCUAUGUUAUGAUCACUAAUGUAUGGAAAAUAUGUGGUACUAAGAGAUAAUCUAAAAAUACCAGUGCAUAUUGUUGUAAAAUAACUAGUACCACAUUAGGAAAAUCACACUGAUUAUAUGCUAAAUGGAUGAAGCAAAAUGUUUAAUUAAUUUAAGACUUUUUUUCUUUUAUACGUCUCUGAGGAAGAAAAGAAUCAUUUCCUUGUGCAAUUAGGGAAUUGAACAGACAUUUUUGUUUCAGAAUAUCUUUAGGCAAUGGAUUACUCACCUCUCUAGGUCAAUAUUUGAUCCCUUUCCAUCAAUAAGCUCUUUCUGCUAUCUGACCAUGAUCCCUCCAAUUUAGUUAAGGCCUUUUGCUUUUAUUGGGUCUGCUCAGAUUCCUUUUUGCUCUAAGAAAUGGAAAUGUAGUUAUUCCCUCAGUAGGGAGUGGCUUAUCAGUACGAUCUCAUGUGUUCUUGCUAUGCUGAAACUGGUUAUUUUCCUUUGUUUCCAAGGCUCAUUUUGAAGAAUAUGUUGGCAUAUUUCCUUAAUAGUUGCAUAUGUUUUUUAAAUCUGCAUCAGAUAGUCACUGCUAUAUACAAGAGGAAAAAUAGCAAUUUAUCUUUAUUUUUCUGAAGUUUUUAUUUUCUCCUUCGAAGUUUUCUCUCAGAGAAAUGGUUAUGAAAGUUUUUUCCAUGCAACACAUAAACAUGAAGCAUUUCCAGUGAAGUCAAUGAAUCCCCGUAGUAUACAGAAACGUCUGUCUCCAUGUUCUGGACGGGACCUGGGGCAAAGGAAGAUCCUGACCUACUGACAUCAUAUGGCACAUAGAUGUCCAUAUUCAAUCAUCAAAUACUCAGAACAUGUCUAGCCUAAAAAAUUAUAUGUUUUGUAUAUAAAUAAACUUAGAAUACUCCAGUCAUUUCUUUCAGGGGAGACUUCCAGCCAGUCCACAUUUUUCCUACAUUUGUUAUUCUCUGCUCAAAGGUACUCCCAGGAAGGGAUAUCAUCUAAUUGAGGAGACAUUAGUGCCUAGAGGAUGGGCCAGUUCUCCAGAAUGAUCUAGUGAGGGCUCCUUCCCAGCCACCGGAGACUCAAAGGGACUGGAGGAUGAAAUGCGAUUCUCCACUUAUCAUUAAUGGUUCCAGUUUGGUGCUGAUAUGAAUACGGAAGGCAGAAUGCCCAAGCUACCUGGAUCUGAUGCUAAGGAAAUGCCUUUGUAAACCACCAAACACAAUGCCCGGAGCUCACAGAGCAACAGAGAUUUCCAUCUCCCUUAAAGCAUUGCUGAAAAGAAGUUGGUGAUAUCUUCUUUCUUCUACAGGAAAUAGAAGGGAAACAUCUUUGGGACGUAAGGCCAAAUGAUUUGUGCUGGCUUUUCAAAAUGUAACUAAAAAUGCCUGCUGUAAGAACACACCCAUUUGCACCUGUUCAAGUCCUGAGGAAAAUUUGCAUGAGGCUGAAUAAAUGUCAGGAUGUGACCAAAAGAAAUCCAAUGAAAACUUCCUCUAAUUUGUCUUACUAUUACUGUAUGGAUUUCUUGGACUGGUGAAAAUAAUAUAUGAUCUCUUUGGUUUGGUUUUGGUUUGAAGCUAUUAUAACCUCUUCUGCCUUUUUAAGAGGGACAAUUUCCACAGGAGGUAGACUGGUCCUAGAAGAAUCAAUCAGAAGUCAGGAUAUAUUCACCUUCCCAAAUAGCCUCAAACAUAAUUUGCUAAGUAAAGAAUUUCCUAUUCCUCCCCAAAUAAGGAUAAUAGAAAUGCAGUUAUAACUCUGAUCUUCCAUCUUUAGACAAAUAUUAAGCCUGACAUUAAGAGUUACAGUAUUUGUGAAUUGGUCAUUAGUACAUAAUUGCCAUAUAUCUCAAGGUGCAAUAUCUCCUAUGCUCUCAAAUAGUUUUUAACUGAACACAGAUGUUUUUAUGGGCACACAGAGGAAAAAAGAAAAGGAUACUUUUCAGUGGUAUAGGCCUGUGUUAUAUCAUGAUGGACUUUUAGGCUAAAAGGCUUGGCCAGCUGGCUUGACCUUGAGUGAGGUACUUCACCUUGCUGAGUCCCAGCACCAAUAUCUGUAAAACGAGGGGAUUAAUUUGGUGGUGGCUAAAAACCCAUCCAACACAAAAAUUCUGUGAGUCUACAAUUAUCAAUAGGAUGAUAAGAUGUUCUCUGUCUUUUAGGUUGCCACCCAAGUGAAUGAACUCCAGUUUUAAUUUCCUUUUUGGUGAUAGGAAAUCUGAAGACAGGCAAGGUUAAAUGACCCACCUGAAGGCCCAGUGCAAUCAGUGAUGGAAUCAUAUCCUCCUUCACAGCUCUGGUUCCUGGCUUCCAGUUUCACCAACUUAUUAAAACCAAGACUUUUAGGAUGUCUGUUAGGAUCUUAUUGCCUUAUUCAUACUCACAUCCUGGAUGGCAACAUUGAUUCAGUGUCUUUUAUCAGCACACCUGAGAGUUUACAGCUCAGCCUUAGCUGAGAUGACAUCCACCUGUUCCAGGGAGGAAAGGCCAACACUGGGAGAACUUGCUGUGAACCCGCACUAUGCUAUGUGCUUGGAUAUGAUGGCUUAAGCCGUGCAACCGCCAUAUUGGUACAUCGUGUGCAAGAUUUUCUUAAGAGCAAAAAUAAUCCUUUGAUGAGGAGCUGACAAUGCCAAAGUUCUUUUUGUG
Odocoileus virginianus texanus is the source of this 5054-nucleotide non-coding RNA. NCBI's taxonomy places the organism in Eukaryota, Metazoa, Chordata, Mammalia, Artiodactyla, Cervidae. The record is from RefSeq and is a predicted model, not a curated record.